AAUACGGUGCUCCAAAGACCAAAUGCAGCGGAGGAGGGAGAGAGCUUCUCGCACUGAACCGAAGAGGGGAAAAGGGUUUUCAUUGUAGGUGGCUCGCGGUGGCCAUGACUUGGGGUGUUGGCGGCGCCAUGGCUUGCGUCUCGAACAGUUUGGCUCACUCCAGACGAAGAUCGACGAUGGAAGGAGAGAGCUUCUUCGAUCUGAAAGAGAGGAGAAGGGAACCCGAUACUAGAGUGGGAAUGCCCCCGACAGUGAACGACGGGGAUGCUGGCGUCUUGGCCGAUGAGAACGACGUCUUGGCCAGCGGCUGGCGGUGGUUGGUCUCACCAGCGAUAAGGAACACAGGAUCGUUUUCUCUCGC
Molecule: long non-coding RNA, 361 nt
Filed under: Vigna radiata
Lineage: Eukaryota; Viridiplantae; Streptophyta; Magnoliopsida; Fabales; Fabaceae
Description: long non-coding RNA (VRAD_LNC003796)
Source: RNAcentral